Molecule: ribosomal RNA, 816 nt
Filed under: uncultured Streptococcaceae bacterium
Lineage: Bacteria; Bacillati; Bacillota; Bacilli; Lactobacillales; Streptococcaceae
Description: bacterial SSU rRNA
Rfam family: Bacterial small subunit ribosomal RNA
Source: RNAcentral
CGUGCUAAUACAUGCAAGUAGAACGCACAGGAUGCACCGUAGUUUACUACACCGUAUUCUGUGAGUUGCGAACGGGUGAGUAACGCGUAGGUAACCUGCCUGGUAGCGGGGGAUAACUAUUGGAAACGAUAGCUAAUACCGCAUAAGAACAUUUACUGCAUGGUAGAUGUUUAAAAGGUGCAAAAGCAUCACUACCAGAUGGACCUGCGUUGUAUUAGCUAGUUGGUGAGGUAACGGCUCACCAAGGCAACGAUACAUAGCCGACCUGAGAGGGUGAUCGGCCACACUGGGACUGAGACACGGCCCAGACUCCUACGGGAGGCAGCAGUAGGGAAUCUUCGGCAAUGGGGGGAACCCUGACCGAGCAACGCCGCGUGAGUGAAGAAGGUUUUCGGAUCGUAAAGCUCUGUUGUUAAGGAAGAACGUGUGUGAGAGUGGAAAGUUCACACAGUGACGGUACUUAACCAGAAAGGGACGGCUAACUACGUGCCAGCAGCCGCGGUAAUACGUAGGUCCCGAGCGUUGUCCGGAUUUAUUGGGCGUAAAGCGAGCGCAGGCGGUUAGAUAAGUCUGAAGUGAAAGGCAGUGGCUCAACCAUUGUAGGCUUUGGAAACUGUUUAACUUGAGUGCAGAAGGGGAGAGUGGAAUUCCAUGUGUAGCGGUGAAAUGCGUAGAUAUAUGGAGGAACACCGGUGGCGAAAGCGGCUCUCUGGUCUGUAACUGACGCUGAGGCUCGAAAGCGUGGGGAGCGAACAGGAUUAGAUACCCUGGUAGUCCACGCCGUAAACGAUGAGUGCUAGGUGUUAGGUCCUUUCC